RNAcentral lists this ribosomal RNA (2909 nucleotides) under Pseudomonas aeruginosa. RNAcentral describes it as "bacterial LSU rRNA". It matches the Rfam family "Bacterial large subunit ribosomal RNA". The record is from RNAcentral. Lineage: Bacteria; Pseudomonadati; Pseudomonadota; Gammaproteobacteria; Pseudomonadales; Pseudomonadaceae.
GUUAUAUGGUCAAGUGAAGAAGCGCAUACGGUGGAUGCCUUGGCAGUCAGAGGCGAUGAAAGACGUGGUAGCCUGCGAAAAGCUUCGGGGAGUCGGCAAACAGACUUUGAUCCGGAGAUCUCUGAAUGGGGGAACCCACCUAGGAUAACCUAGGUAUCUUGUACUGAAUCCAUAGGUGCAAGAGGCGAACCAGGGGAACUGAAACAUCUAAGUACCCUGAGGAAAAGAAAUCAACCGAGAUUCCCUUAGUAGUGGCGAGCGAACGGGGAUUAGCCCUUAAGCUUCAUUGAUUUUAGCGGAACGCUCUGGAAAGUGCGGCCAUAGUGGGUGAUAGCCCCGUACGCGAAAGGAUCUUUGAAGUGAAAUCGAGUAGGACGGAGCACGAGAAACUUUGUCUGAACAUGGGGGGACCAUCCUCCAAGGCUAAAUACUACUGACUGACCGAUAGUGAACCAGUACCGUGAGGGAAAGGCGAAAAGAACCCCGGAGAGGGGAGUGAAAUAGAACCUGAAACCGUAUGCGUACAAGCAGUGGGAGCCUACUUGUUAGGUGACUGCGUACCUUUUGUAUAAUGGGUCAGCGACUUAUAUUCAGUGGCAAGCUUAACCGUAUAGGGUAGGCGUAGCGAAAGCGAGUCUUAAUAGGGCGUUUAGUCGCUGGGUAUAGACCGAAACCGGGCGAUCUAUCCAUGAGCAGGUUGAAGGUUAGGUAACACUGACUGGAGGACCGAACCCACUCCCGUUGAAAAGGUAGGGGAUGACUUGUGGAUCGGAGUGAAAGGCUAAUCAAGCUCGGAGAUAGCUGGUUCUCCUCGAAAGCUAUUUAGGUAGCGCCUCAUGUAUCACUCUGGGGGGUAGAGCACUGUUUCGGCUAGGGGGUCAUCCCGACUUACCAAACCGAUGCAAACUCCGAAUACCCAGAAGUGCCGAGCAUGGGAGACACACGGCGGGUGCUAACGUCCGUCGUGAAAAGGGAAACAACCCAGACCGCCAGCUAAGGUCCCAAGUUGUGGUUAAGUGGUAAACGAUGUGGGAAGGCUUAGACAGCUAGGAGGUUGGCUUAGAAGCAGCCACCCUUUAAAGAAAGCGUAAUAGCUCACUAGUCGAGUCGGCCUGCGCGGAAGAUGUAACGGGGCUCAAACCACACACCGAAGCUGCGGGUGUCACGUAAGUGACGCGGUAGAGGAGCGUUCUGUAAGCCUGUGAAGGUGAGUUGAGAAGCUUGCUGGAGGUAUCAGAAGUGCGAAUGCUGACAUGAGUAACGACAAUGGGUGUGAAAAACACCACGCCGAAAGACCAAGGGUUCCUGCGCAACGUUAAUCGACGCAGGGUUAGUCGGUUCCUAAGGCGAGGCUGAAAAGCGUAGUCGAUGGGAAACAGGUUAAUAUUCCUGUACUUCUGGUUACUGCGAUGGAGGGACGGAGAAGGCUAGGCCAGCUUGGCGUUGGUUGUCCAAGUUUAAGGUGGUAGGCUGAAAUCUUAGGUAAAUCCGGGGUUUCAAGGCCGAGAGCUGAUGACGAGUCGUCUUUUAGAUGACGAAGUGGUUGAUGCCAUGCUUCCAAGAAAAGCUUCUAAGCUUCAGGUAACCAGGAACCGUACCCCAAACCGACACAGGUGGUCGGGUAGAGAAUACCAAGGCGCUUGAGAGAACUCGGGUGAAGGAACUAGGCAAAAUGGCACCGUAACUUCGGGAGAAGGUGCGCCGGCUAGGGUGAAGGAUUUACUCCAUAAGCUCUGGCUGGUCGAAGAUACCAGGCCGCUGCGACUGUUUAUUAAAAACACAGCACUCUGCAAACACGAAAGUGGACGUAUAGGGUGUGACGCCUGCCCGGUGCCGGAAGGUUAAUUGAUGGGGUUAGCGCAAGCGAAGCUCUUGAUCGAAGCCCCGGUAAACGGCGGCCGUAACUAUAACGGUCCUAAGGUAGCGAAAUUCCUUGUCGGGUAAGUUCCGACCUGCACGAAUGGCGUAACGAUGGCGGCGCUGUCUCCACCCGAGACUCAGUGAAAUUGAAAUCGCUGUGAAGAUGCAGUGUAUCCGCGGCUAGACGGAAAGACCCCGUGAACCUUUACUGUAGCUUUGCACUGGACUUUGAGCCUGCUUGUGUAGGAUAGGUGGGAGGCUUUGAAGCGUGGACGCCAGUUCGCGUGGAGCCAUCCUUGAAAUACCACCCUGGCAUGCUUGAGGUUCUAACUCUGGUCCGUAAUCCGGAUCGAGGACAGUGUAUGGUGGGCAGUUUGACUGGGGCGGUCUCCUCCUAAAGAGUAACGGAGGAGUACGAAGGUGCGCUCAGACCGGUCGGAAAUCGGUCGCAGAGUAUAAAGGCAAAAGCGCGCUUGACUGCGAGACAGACACGUCGAGCAGGUACGAAAGUAGGUCUUAGUGAUCCGGUGGUUCUGUAUGGAAGGGCCAUCGCUCAACGGAUAAAAGGUACUCCGGGGAUAACAGGCUGAUACCGCCCAAGAGUUCAUAUCGACGGCGGUGUUUGGCACCUCGAUGUCGGCUCAUCACAUCCUGGGGCUGAAGCCGGUCCCAAGGGUAUGGCUGUUCGCCAUUUAAAGUGGUACGCGAGCUGGGUUUAGAACGUCGUGAGACAGUUCGGUCCCUAUCUGCCGUGGACGUUUGAGAUUUGAGAGGGGCUGCUCCUAGUACGAGAGGACCGGAGUGGACGAACCUCUGGUGUUCCGGUUGUCACGCCAGUGGCAUUGCCGGGUAGCUAUGUUCGGAAAAGAUAACCGCUGAAAGCAUCUAAGCGGGAAACUUGCCUCAAGAUGAGAUCUCACUGGGAACUUGAUUCCCCUGAAGGGCCGUCGAAGACUACGACGUUGAUAGGCUGGGUGUGUAAGCGUUGUGAGGCGUUGAGCUAACCAGUACUAAUUGCCCGUGAGGCUUGACCAUAUAACACCCAAACA